UACGUAGGCAGCAAGCGUUGUUCGGAGUUACUGGGCGUAAAGGGUGUGUAGGCGGUUGUUUAAGUUUGGUGUGAAAUCUCCCGGCUCAACUGGGAGGGUGCGCCGAAUACUGAAUGACUAGAGUGCGGGAGAGGAGAGUGGAAUUCCUGGUGUAGCGGUGAAAUGCGUAGAUAUUGGGAAGAACACCAGUGGCGUAGGCGACUAGCUGGGCCAUAACUGACGCUGAGGAACGAAAGCCAGGGGAGCGAAUGGG
This 253-nucleotide ribosomal RNA is filed under the name uncultured prokaryote. Its description in RNAcentral is "partial 16S ribosomal RNA". It matches the Rfam family "Bacterial small subunit ribosomal RNA", at positions 524 to 776 of the family's 1533-position model. The record is from RNAcentral.